This 529-nucleotide ribosomal RNA is filed under the name uncultured bacterium. RNAcentral's name for it is "bacterial SSU rRNA". It matches the Rfam family "Bacterial small subunit ribosomal RNA", at positions 15 to 518 of the family's 1533-position model. The record is from RNAcentral.
GAUCUGGUUCAGGACGAACGCUGGCGGCGUGCCUAAUACAUGCAAGUCGAACGGUCUUUCUAUGGAAGCUUGCUUCCACUGAGAAGAUAGUGGCGAACGGGUGAGUAACACGUGGGUAACCUGCCCAUAAGAGGGGGAUAACAUCCGGAAACGGGUGCUAAUACCGCAUAGUUUUCUUGAUCGCAUGAUCGGGAAAGGAAAGACGGCCUUUGUGCUGUCGCUUAUGGAUGGACCCGCGGCGUAUUAGUUAGUUGGUGAGGUAACGGCUCACCAAGACGAUGAUACGUAGCCGACCUGAGAGGGUGAUCGGCCACAUUGGGACUGAGACACGGCCCAAACUCCUACGGGAGGCAGCAGUAGGGAAUCUUCCGCAAUGGACGAAAGUCUGACGGAGCAACGCCGCGUGAGUGAAAGAAGGUUUUCGGAUCGUAAAACUCUGUUGUCAGAGAAGAACAAGUUGGAGAGUAACUGCUCCAGCCUUGACGGUAUCUGACCAGAAAGCCACGGCUAACUACGUGCCAGCCGCCGC